RNA transcript from Zea mays, 1943 nucleotides. RefSeq lists it as uncharacterized. The transcript is spliced from 11 exons. The record is from RefSeq and is marked provisional. NCBI's taxonomy places the organism in Eukaryota, Viridiplantae, Streptophyta, Magnoliopsida, Poales, Poaceae.
CAGGCAGGCGGUCCCGUCCCACCACCCACCCCGCGACCGCGAGGCCGCGACCCCGCUGAUGAUGGCGCCGUCCCCCGUCACGUGCAGCCCCUCCGCGGCGCGGCACCGCCCGCUGCAGCUCCGCUCCCCCGCGCCGCGCGCUGCUGUCGUGGCGGCGCUGCCGCUGCGGAGGAGGGAGGCGCUGCCGCACGCGCUGUGGAUCGCGGCGGACCCGUGGGCGUCGGCGCGCGCGUGGACGAGUCUGGGCCUGGGCACGGGCAGGAGGGACGCGGCGAGGUGCGCGGCGGCGGGGCAGGUCGCGGGGACUAGCAGCGCGGGCGUAGGGAGGAGCGCCGGGAUGGAGGUGGUCGUCGCCGCGGCUGCGGUCGUCGCCAUGGGCACGGGGAACCGUGUCCUCUACAAGCUCGCGCUCGUGCCGCUCCGGAAGUACCCGUUCUUCCUGGCGCAGUUCGCCACGUUUGGAUAUGUAGUUGUCUAUUUCUCGAUCCUGUAUCUUCGAUAUCGAGCGGGCAUUGUCACCGAUGAGAUGCUGUCUCUACCACAGAAACCUUUUCUAGCUGUAGGACUCUUAGAGGCCUUUGGAGCAGCAGCAGGGAUGGCAGCUGGAGCUGUUCUUUCUGGAGCUUCAAUACCAAUACUGUCACAGACCUAUCUUGUCUGGCAGCUUCUUCUAUCUGCUAUAUUCUUGAAGAGGCGUUAUAGAAUUAAUGAGAUAGCAGGAUGUUUUCUAGUGGCAAUUGGUGUCAUAAUAACUGUAGCAAGUGGAUCUGGUACUAGCGCUUCAUUUAAAAGUAGUGGAAUUUUAUGGCCGCUGCUAAUGAUAAUAUCGUUCUUUUUCCAAGCUGCCGAUACAAUAUUGAAGGAAAUAAUAUUUAUAGAUGCUUCUAAGAAAUUGAAGUGUGGCUCGGUUGAUCUUUUUGUUGUCAAUUCAUAUGGCUCUGCUUAUCAAGCCCUUUUUAUGUGUAUCUUGCUGCCUUUCCUGUCAAAGUUAUGGGGAGUUCCAUUCCAUGUGUUACCAACCUACAUAAAAGAUGGUGCAGCCUGCUUUUUAAAUAUGGGAUCAAUAUCUGGUUGUGAAGGGGCACCACUUCUACCACUACUAUUUGUGUUGGUUAACAUGGGAUUCAAUAUAUCAUUACUAAACCUACUAAAGAUCUCCUCAGCAGUCAUAUCUUCCUUGGCUUCUACAUUCUCAGUUCCGCUGUCCAUCUACGCUUUCACUCUGCCACUGCCGUAUAUCGGUGCGGCGUCAUCUCUGCCACCUGGCUUUGUUGCGGGUGCAGCGGUACUCACCACCGGCUUACUACUAUACAGCCUACCACAGGCACAACAUUAUGGGAAUUCUUUCCACAACAAGAAUGAUGACUAGUCAGCAUUCAUUUCUUCAUUGGUUUAUAAUCACCCUUCACUCCAAGAUGGUGCGCCAUCUGGGUUCGAAAGGUUGGAGCAGAAGUUCUCCUGAGGGCCACCAGACUGUUGUAUGUUGUAUGAAACAUAUCAUAUAUAUAUACCCACCAAUAAAGGUCGGAGAAGAGCAUGGACAGUGGUUAGACGGGAAGAAAACCAGGGAGAAGAGCAGGAGCAUCAUCACCACAGGGACGAAGAGAAGAAACAGCGGUGGUGGCGGAAGGGGUGGCAGCACCAACGGCAGGCACAGGAGGAUCACUGUCGCCGCCAGCAACAUCAUCAGUACUCUCUUGCUCAUCGCCGCCGCCCUGCGCUCGCUGUGAUGGAACUUGCUUGUGCCAACCCCCAAUGGCUGCCCGGCUCCAGUCUUUUUCUAGGCUUUCAUGUGAGGAAGUUGUACUAUGUGUGAGAGAAAGAAAAUGUUAGUUGCCCCCGAUGAAGGAACUGGCAAGGUAUAUGUACAUGGCCAGCUUGAAUCAGCAGGCCAGAUGGGGUGUUUUGGCAUGUGUGACUGCUGGACUGGGCAUGUUCGAUCC